This 207-nucleotide ribosomal RNA is filed under the name uncultured bacterium. Its description in RNAcentral is "partial 16S ribosomal RNA". It matches the Rfam family "Bacterial small subunit ribosomal RNA", at positions 1286 to 1500 of the family's 1533-position model. The record is from RNAcentral.
UCUCAGUUCGGAUUGGAGUCUGCAACCCGACUCCAUGAAGCUGGAUUCGCUAGUAAUCGCGCAUCAGCCACGGCGCGGUGAAUACGUUCCCGGGCCUUGUACACACCGCCCGUCAAGCCAUGGGAGCCGGGGGUGCCUGAAGGCCGUGACCGCGAGGAGCGGCCUAGGGUAAAACUGGUGACUGGGGCUAAGUCGUAACAAGGUAGC